RNAcentral lists this long non-coding RNA (1022 nucleotides) under Felis catus (domestic cat). Its description in RNAcentral is "lncRNA (ENSFCAG00000052030.1)". Lineage: Eukaryota; Metazoa; Chordata; Mammalia; Carnivora; Felidae. The record is from RNAcentral.
CAGAUUUAUUAGUCGGUGUUAUUAUCCUUACAGAACGUUCUAUACAGAAAGGGAAAUACUUGUUCGUUAACUUCUUUGUACAUUCUUGACUUGGAAAUAGUUGUUAAGAGUGAUGAAAUGGAGUGAGUCCUAGAGCAACGUCCCUCUACUGCGUCACUCCUUGUGAGCCCUCCUUCCCCUGGAACCCCCCCACACAAGUAGGCCAACACAGAGGAGGGGCCGGCAUCCACACCCACACACACAGUGCGUGCAUAGGCAGACCACACAUGUACAUGCACCACACACACAUACCACAUACACAUCACACAAACUACACACACCACACACACACUACACACAUACACACACACACACCACAUACACACCACGUAUACCCACACCACACAAACACACACACACACACACACACACACACACACACACACACCACAUACACACCACGUAUACCCACACCGCACAAACUACACACACCACAUGUACGCAGCCACACACACUACACUCACACACCACAAACACAUAUACAUCACACACACACACUACACGCCACACACACACACACACACACCACACACUACAUACACUACACAUACCACACACAUACACACCACACACACCACAUACACACACACACACCACAUACACACAUACACACACACACACACUACACACAUACACAUACCACACAUACACACACACACACACACCACACACACCACAUACACACACUACACAUACCACACACACCACACACACCACACACUACAUACACUACACAUACCACACAUACACAUACCACACACACCACACACUACAUACACUACACAUACCACACAUACACAUACCACACAUACACACCACACACACACCACACACACACCACACACACCACACAGACACACCACAUACACACCACGUAUACCCACACCACACAAACUACACACACCACACACACACACCAUACACACAUAUACACCACACACUAAACACACAGCACACAUACACGCACUACACAUACCACAUAU